Molecule: ribosomal RNA, 497 nt
Filed under: uncultured bacterium
Lineage: Bacteria
Description: partial 16S ribosomal RNA
Rfam family: Bacterial small subunit ribosomal RNA
Source: RNAcentral
GAUGGACGCUGGCGGCGUGCCUAAUACAUGCAAGUCGAGCGAACAGACGAGGAGCUUGCUCCUCUGACGUUAGCGGCGGACGGGUGAGUAACACGUGGAUAACCUACCUAUAAGACUGGGAUAACUUCGGGAAACCGGAGCUAAUACCGGAUAAUAUAUUGAACCGCAUGGUUCAAUAGUGAAAGACGGUUUUGCUGUCACUUAUAGAUGGAUCCGCGCCGCAUUAGCUAGUUGGUAAGGUAACGGCUUACCAAGGCGACGAUGCGUAGCCGACCUGAGAGGGUGAUCGGCCACACUGGAACUGAGACACGUUCCAGACUCCUACGGGAGGCAGCAGUAGGGAAUCUUCCGCAAUGGGCGAAAGCCUGACGGAGCAACGCCGCGUGAGUGAUGAAGGUCUUCGGAUCGUAAAACUCUGUUAUUAGGGAAGAACAAAUGUGUAAGUAACUAUGCACGUCUUGACGGUACCUAAUCAGAAAGCCACGGCUAACUACGUG